GACGAACGCUGGCGGCGUGCUUAACACAUGCAAGUCGAGCGGUAAGGCCCUUUCGGGGGUACACGAGCGGCGAACGGGUGAGUAACACGUGGGUGACCUGCCCUCAGCUCUGGGAUAAGCCUGGGAAACUGGGUCUAAUACCGGAUAUGACUCCAUGACGCAUGUUGUGGGGUGGAAAGCCUUGUGCGGCUGAGGAUGGGCCCGCGGCCUAUCAGCUUGUUGGUGGGGUGANGGCCCUACCAAGGCGACGACGGGUAGCCGGCCUGAGAGGGCGACCGGCCACACUGGGACUGAGACACGGCCCAGACUCCUACGGGAGGCAGCAGUGGGGAAUCUUGCGCAAUGGGCGAAAGCCUGACGCAGCGACGCCGCGUGAGGGAUGACGGCCU
Molecule: ribosomal RNA, 389 nt
Filed under: uncultured bacterium
Lineage: Bacteria
Description: bacterial SSU rRNA
Rfam family: Bacterial small subunit ribosomal RNA
Source: RNAcentral